RNAcentral lists this long non-coding RNA (799 nucleotides) under Sorghum bicolor (sorghum). RNAcentral describes it as "long non-coding RNA (SBIC_LNC000313)". The record is from RNAcentral. Lineage: Eukaryota; Viridiplantae; Streptophyta; Magnoliopsida; Poales; Poaceae.
AUAUGUUAAUUUUCAUUAGAUGUACUAUAUGCCUAUUUGGAGUUCUCACAUAAAAAUGGAUCUUUUUCUGUGAAUUCUAUAUAUGUAUAAGUUCUAGUGAGUAAUGGUACGAAAAUCUCGCUGGAGAGACAUGGCAAAUGAAAAUACACUUAAAAAACAAAAUCUUCAUGUAAUUCAUAAAAAAGGUUAUUUUAACAAAAGAUAAUGUAGCAAGAAGAAAUUGGAGUGGUAGUAAAGCUUAUUGUUUUUGGAAUAAGUAUGAAACCAUCCAACAUCUUUUCUUGAUUGUCAUUGUCACUACUACAAUAAAGUUAACCGAGAUGGGCAAAAGUAAUUUUUCAAGGCGGGCAAACAAAGCGCCUCGGAUCAAAGGUCACAGUAAAUGGCCUAUUUUUCGAGGCGAUUUGAUGCCCACCUUGGUUAAUAAAAUAAAAAAAUAAAAGCCUGUAACCCAAACCUAGUAUGUAUUUGGGCCUAGAUCCACCUCCGCUUGCAAGGGCCAUGAAGUCGUCGAUCGCUGGCACAUUGCCAUGGUGCUCUGACAAGGCUCGUUCUCACCGGAUCCACCGUUGGUGGGCUCGUUGUCGCUGGAUCCGCCAUCGAUAGAGUCCUCCCCACCAGAUCCGCCACCGGCGGGCUCAUGCUCGUCCGAUCCUCCAUCAACGAACUUCUACUUGAUGGAUCCGCCACCAGAAAGCUCGUCCCCCGUCGGAUCUGUGCUCAUUGGUGGGGAAGGAGGAGAGGGGGAACCACAUCCAGCCAUAGGGAAGAGAGGAAGGAGGGGAAGCCCACCACUGCC